Long non-coding RNA from Lycium ferocissimum, 1156 nucleotides. RefSeq lists it as uncharacterized. The record is from RefSeq and is a predicted model, not a curated record. The transcript is spliced from 5 exons. Lineage: Eukaryota; Viridiplantae; Streptophyta; Magnoliopsida; Solanales; Solanaceae.
UACACCCAAAGUAAUUUGGGCACUUUUGAGGAUGACUAACCAUGAUGAAAGGAUAAGCGAUCUUUGAGAAGCUGCCAACAAGAUUCAUAUUAACAGUCUUCGAUAAUGUUGAUUCAUUCCACCAACAAGAGGACAACACUGGUGAAUAAAUAAAGUAUGCAUUUGCAUGUGUAAAAUCUGAAAUAGCGACAGUGGUGGACCCUUGGCAAUGAGUUCUUAUCUCAUGGAUUCAACAUCAGUUUCAAGAUUGCAGAAGGAUGAAAAGGGUUGCAGACGAUGCUAGUCGUUGAGGAAGAUGUGAUUCUGCUGUUUGGAAUAUGUGUUUGUAACCUGUAUCAUUUUGGUGUUUGGAACAUGUGUUUGUGACCUAUAGAAAUAAACAUAUAAUCCAUUUAUGAUUGUUUACUAUGUGAAGCGUUUGCUUUUGUUAAUAUUUACUAGGACUUUGAUUAUUCCUAGUAAAUGAAUGUAUUUGUUCCAUUGUACCAUAACAUCUACCAGAUGCUUCCUAAUUCUAAUUGAAACAAGGAAAAUGCUUAAUAAGGUGGCACCACGUUGCGGAAAACAAGUGACGCUCAGCAGUAAUUAGCUACGUACAUUUUCUCAUUUUAAUUCAUGUAUAAUUAAUACAUGUAGUACUAUUUCAUAUUAUAUCUCAUAAAUAAUACAUAGAUUCCUACACAAGAGAGCCUCUGCUUAUUUCAUAAUAAUCUAAUAUACCAUUUUUAUGUUUCGAGUGCACAUGUUUCCUCUUAACAUUCUUUGUGUUUCGAGUGCACAUGUUUCCUCUUAACAGUCUCUGUACAGGUUAGUCGGAAUUAGUUUCAUAAAUCAUCAAUAUCUAUUUCGCUCCAUUUGGACCUGUUUCAUUCGAAUACUCUAACAAUAUCGGGUUUUCAGUACCAGAUAUUUCACAGCUUACCAAAACCCAGCUGGCACAAGGAUGAAAAUUGGAUGCAUGGCUAGUAAGGAUUCAGGUUUAUAGCAGAUGAUUGUAAAUCUGGUAACCUAAGUAGAACUAGAAGUCUGAUACUAAAUAUGGCAGAUAACAUGGAGAAAGCAAAACAGAUCGUUUUUCAACUUCGACAAACAAGAAAGAAUAGUAAUGUAUCAGAAUAAACUUCAAAAACAGAAAUGUCAAGACAUCAUUCUUUCA